RNAcentral lists this long non-coding RNA (295 nucleotides) under Gossypium barbadense (sea-island cotton). RNAcentral's name for it is "long non-coding RNA (GBAR_LNC022272)". The record is from RNAcentral. Lineage: Eukaryota; Viridiplantae; Streptophyta; Magnoliopsida; Malvales; Malvaceae.
GAAGAAGCAACCAGUGGUGAGUCUAUCAACGACUGAAGCGGAAUUUAUAGCAGCAGCAGCAAGCUCAUGUCAAACCGUGUGGCUCAGACGGAUACUUGAGGCAAUGGGAAGAAAUCAAACAAGUCCUAUGGUAAUAUAUUGUGUAAUAGUUCUGCCAUAAAGUUAUCAAAGAAUCCAAUUAUACAUGUGAGAAGUAAACACAUCGAUGUACGGUUUCAUUUUCUAAGAGAUCUUACAAGGAACAAAACAAUUGUGCUGCAACACUGUAAUUCCCAAGAACAAGUAGCUGAUGUCA